UUCCAAAUGAGUAACUAUCUAAAGGUUUCUAUUCUCUUAUCCCUUUCAGCUUAUCCCUGCCUGCCUGCUUGAUCAAUGAAUGCAUGGUCCGUGCUCCUUCCUCUAGUUUCCUGCUCUUUCUCAUUAUUUCGGCCCCAGUGUGUCCCUGAUGAGCUUGCCUGCAAAGCAUGAAGGUGGGGGGAGACGGUGUCGUAGAUAACUGCGAGAUGAGAGCCUUGGAGGAGAGGUACACCAGACAGAAAGUCAUCAUGAGAUACCGUCCUUGGGAAUGGCAUAAUGCUCUUGGGAAUGCAGGCUGCCACGGUGAGUAUACCAGGUUUUGAUCCAAUAUCAACUGCAAAUAAAAUCUAAUGAACAAGAAAG
Molecule: long non-coding RNA, 363 nt
Filed under: Mustela putorius furo (domestic ferret)
Lineage: Eukaryota; Metazoa; Chordata; Mammalia; Carnivora; Mustelidae
Description: lncRNA (ENSMPUG00000031407.1)
Source: RNAcentral